RNAcentral lists this ribosomal RNA (538 nucleotides) under uncultured archaeon. RNAcentral describes it as "bacterial SSU rRNA". It matches the Rfam family "Archaeal small subunit ribosomal RNA", at positions 461 to 997 of the family's 1478-position model. The record is from RNAcentral.
GCCGCCGCGGUAACACCGGCGGCCCGAGUGGUGAUCGUGAUUAUUGGGUCUAAAGGGUCCGUAGCCGGUUUGGUCAGUCCUCCGGGAAAUCUGAUAGCUCAACUAUUAGGCUUUCGGGGGAUACUGCCAGACUUGGAACCGGGAGAGGUAAGAGGUACUACAGGGGUAGGAGUGAAAUCUUGUAAUCCCUGUGGGACCACCUGUGGCGAAGGCGUCUUACCAGAACGGGUUCGACGGUGAGGGACGAAAGCUGGGGGCACGAACCGGAUUAGAUACCCGGGUAGUCCCAGCCGUAAACGAUGCUCGCUAGGUGUCAGGCAUGGCGCGACCGUGUCUGGUGCCGCAGGGAAGCCGUGAAGCGAGCCACCUGGGAAGUACGGCCGCAAGGCUGAACCUUAAAGGAAUUGGCGGGGGAGCACAACAACGGGUGGAAGCCUGCGGUUUAAUUGGACUCAACGCCGGACAACUCACCGGGGGCGACAGCAAUAUGUAGGCCAAGCUGAAGACUUUGCCUGAAUCGCUGAGGGGUGGUGCAUGG